Molecule: ribosomal RNA, 137 nt
Filed under: Cebus imitator (Panamanian white-faced capuchin)
Lineage: Eukaryota; Metazoa; Chordata; Mammalia; Primates; Cebidae
Source: RNAcentral
CACUACAGCCAUACCACCCUGUACACACCUGGCCUCCUCUGAUCUGGGAAGCUAAGCAGGCCUGGGACUGGUUAAUGUUUGCAUGGGGGAGAGGCAGAGGUUUUAGCCUAUGAAAGGAGCAGAGUAUGGGGUAGAGG